CCUGGAAACAGAUGCUAAUACCGGAUAACAACAGAUGAUGCCUAUCAACUGUUUAAAAGAUGGUUCUGCUAUCACUCUUGGAUGGACCUGCGGUGCAUUAGCUAGUUGGUAGGGUAACGGCCUACCAAGGCGAUGAUGCAUAGCCGAGUUGAGAGACUGAUCGGCCACAUUGGGACUGAGACACGGCCCAAACUCCUACGGGAGGCAGCAGGC
RNAcentral lists this ribosomal RNA (213 nucleotides) under uncultured Lactobacillus sp. RNAcentral describes it as "partial 16S ribosomal RNA". It matches the Rfam family "Bacterial small subunit ribosomal RNA", at positions 149 to 354 of the family's 1533-position model. Lineage: Bacteria; Bacillati; Bacillota; Bacilli; Lactobacillales; Lactobacillaceae. The record is from RNAcentral.